Leopardus geoffroyi (Geoffroy's cat) is the source of this 3131-nucleotide long non-coding RNA. RefSeq lists it as uncharacterized. The record is from RefSeq and is a predicted model, not a curated record. Lineage: Eukaryota; Metazoa; Chordata; Mammalia; Carnivora; Felidae. The transcript has 3 exons.
AGAGGGAGGGAGAGGAUCCCAAGCAGGUUCCACACUGUCAGUGCAGAGUCAGAUGGGGGGCUUGAAUCCACGAACCAUGAGAUCAUGACCUGAGCUGAAAUCAAGAGUCGGACGAUUAACCGACUGAGCCAUUCAGGCACCCCCAGGUUGAAAGGGAUCUCAAGGGUUGUCCCAGCCACCUAUCUCUAUCCUCAUUUUACAGGACAGAGCACUGGAGUGCAGAGUAAGGACUAAUUUGCCCUAAUUAAUGCUCUGUUCUUUUUUUUGUUUCCUCAUUUGUCAAAUGCAAAUCAUUUCCCCUGUAUUUCAGGGGUUUUGAGGACUAAAUUCGAACUGCAAUACAUGCUUAGUAAUUUUACUGUCUUCUCUUCCUUCCCAUGCUGACCUGCUAUGUAAUGACUCUGUUCUGUUUUCUCUUGAACACUUGGUAGGACCACAGCCAUCCCGCCAAAUAUUGAGGAAGCCGGAAAAGCUAUGACGUUUUCCCCUUGCGAGGCACAAGCUUUCCCCCCAAUGCAGAUGGGAGGACUUUGGAGGUUAUAUCCGUUCAUCUAUUUAUUCAGCAAAUUCAGAGUCAGUCAUUGUUAUAAGCAUUAAGGGAUACAAGAGUAAUAAAAGAUUUACUAAGAGAGACAGAUCUUAAUCAAAUCAUUACUCUCGUAGUUAAUUAAAGUUUUCAUAAAUGAUACAAAAGGCAGACAGGUGGCUGUAAGAGUGUGUAACAGGAGGACUUAGCAUAGCCUGGGAUCGGGGGUAGUCAGGGAAGGCUUCCCUGAGGAGGAAGUAUUUCCCUCAGAUAUGAAGGAUGAUCAGGUAUCUGUCCAACAACGAGUGGGACUAGGGGUGAGGGCUGGAGCGAGCAGCUCAGGAAGUGAGAGCGACGAGUGCAGAGGCCCUGGGGAGAGGAGUUACCUGCCAGAUUUGAGGAACCAGAUCGGACUAGAGAGAAGUCUGGUUUUGUGCUUGAAUACUUAUUUGUUUUUGUUUAGCUCGGAGGAAGACGAAGAUCAUCAGCCCCAGAGCCCUGGGGAGGAAGGUCCGUUGGAGGGGGUAGUCAGUGAGUCAACCCACUGAUCCUGACUCUGAUCCUGACCCAUAAUUCAGACCAGGGUAGGAGCUGCCACAGCUCCAGAGGAAUGGGUGAGACAGUCCUAGGAAGAGAUCUCUGAACCCCUGAGACUGAGCAAGGCUGGUCCACAGAGCAGUCCCCACCAGUAGACCCUUAUUCAAACACCCCUCUCCCCCAAUCUUGCCUCACCACUGCCUUUGCUACAGAAAGAAAUGUGUUCCUAUUUCAUCAAGGACCCAUCUUCCAGAACCAACUUGAAAUCUAGAAGACCGCAUAGCUCCCAGUGUUUUGGGGUUUCAUGUCUGUAUUAAUCCUUAUCCCAGGGACACUGUAUAUAGCACUUAAGAGCUUGGGUUCUAUAGUUAGACCUCAGAGGUCUGAAUCCUGACAUUGUCAUUUACUAGCUAUGUAACCUCAGGCAAGUCUCUUAACCUUUCUGUGUCCUCAUCUAUAAAAUGAAGAUGACAAUUUACUCACCUGAUAGGGUUGCUUAUAAAAAUUAAAUGAAACAAUGUAGGUAAACAUUAGGACAAUAGGUGGGAUUCCUCGAUAAAUGGAAGUUGCAUUAUUAUUAUUAAUUAUUAUCAUUAAUAUCACCAUCAGAGCAACCAUGUAAUACAUGUCCACAAUAUUCCGGAAACUGAGCUAAGUGUUUCACAUACCUUAAUUUGAAUGCCCCCACAGUUUGGCACAAUGAUCCCAAUUUUCUAAAUGAGGAAACUGAGGCUCCGAGGAAUUCAGUGACACAGCUAUUAAGUGACAAUAAAGAUUCACACUCAGGCUCUAAAAGCAGUCCACUCUCUACAUUUCUAUCCCAAGUUGGCCACUUCUCAUCAAUGUGCUGUAAAAUCCUGUUAAUUACAACUAAUGAGAAUGAGGUUCUAUACACUACCUGUUCAUUGAUUUGCAGAUUUUUAAUAUCAUUCCUUGCCCCAGGGGAACUCUCCAGGGGGCCAUCAUUACCAUACAAUUCUUUGGGGGAAACGAAACAACAGCUGGCCCUGCCAAUCACCAUGGCAACACUCCCGUAAGUACAUAGGAUCGCAUCAACAGAAAAAAUCUAUAUAUACGUAUAUGUUCUAUAUUUGCCCUUAAACGCUACGUUAUACAUUGACUCGUUGAUGACACCAUCAGGGCUCAGGUAGAGGCAUUUUCAAUCCGCUCCAAAUCUCUCCCUCUUCUAGGAUGCUUCCAAGACCCCAUCAAGCGGGCACAGGCAGGGACAGACGUUGCUAGGGAAAAGGGAUCAUUGCCAAGUUCUGGCCCACAGCAGCAUAUGCUUCACGGUGACAAUGUAAUCCUCAUGCGCCAAGCCAAGAGAUCUUGUGUGGUGACCUGGGUGUUUCUCCACGGCUCUUUGUCAGACAACAGCCAUCAAGGCUUGGAGUCUUUGACACGUUGGAAGUUCCAGAUUUCUGUAACACAGUGGGAUCAAAGCCUUGAAGCUCUUCUGUGUAUGUCACCAUCAUGAGCCAAGGAGAGACCUUCGAAAAAGACAACAGAUAGCUCCCUUUCACACGCACCAUGUUAGCACAGUACUUGGUGUCCACACGCCAUGAUCAUAAGGCCAGAAUCAUCUCGAAGAUUGAAGAUGGCAAAUUCUUUGACACACUGCCCAUCCAGAGGCAAAGUCUACGUCCCAUCCCCUUGAAUCUGAGUGGGCUCUAUUUCCACUCUGAUAGAAUAUGGCAGAAGUGACACUGUGCCGGUUCCCAAAGCCAGGCCUUAUGAAGCUGGCAGUUCCCAUCCUCUGUCAUUCGGAACACUGUCUCUGGGAGCAUCGGACUUCAAACCCUCAAGCCACCAUGCUGCUGCAGCCCGAUGUAGGUGCUCCAGCUCAGAGUUCCACCUGAGCCCAGCCUUCGGGGCAUCUCUCCAGCCAAGGCCCGUAUGUUGGGUGAAACCAUCUUCUACCCUCCAGGUCAACUCAUCGCUGGUUGAAUCCCACAAGUGACCUUACUCCACACGAUGCCAUAUGGAGCAGAAGAAUCACUCAGCUGAGCCCUGCCCGAGUUCCUAACCCACAAAAUUAUAAAUUAUAAUAAAAUGGUUGUUAUUUUAA